This is a long non-coding RNA of Lathyrus oleraceus (garden pea), 922 nucleotides long. RefSeq lists it as uncharacterized. NCBI's taxonomy places the organism in Eukaryota, Viridiplantae, Streptophyta, Magnoliopsida, Fabales, Fabaceae. The record is from RefSeq and is a predicted model, not a curated record. The transcript has 3 exons.
CUUGUUAGAAGAUUAAUACUGUCCACAUCCCAAAACUUCACUUGGCCAUCUUCACCAGAAACCAAAAAGCGGUUUUGGAUUGUGUCAAACUGCACAACACCGGUAGAUUUCUUUCUGAAUCCAUUGUAUGUUCUCUUAAUGGCUCAAAGAAGUUUUGCUAUUUCCCUUCAUUAUAAUAGGUGCCAGCAGAGUAUAUACCAAGUUAAGGCAGUGUGCAGUUGGUGUAGUUACAUCCAUUACAUACAAUACAUAUCUCAGUUUGGUAUAUAUCUCAGAUACGCCAUAGUAUGAAUCAAACUCUGUCACGAGCCAUUUCCACGGACCAUCUAACAAUAGAAUCUCCAUUUCUGAUGGCAUCACCACCCAGUUUUACAUCUGGUGUGAUACAUAUGGUCCUCUCACAAAAGUUAAGAGGAAAUUCGGGAUUUGUUCCAGCAUAAGCUUUAGUAAGGAUGCCAGAACCCAAUUUCUUCACUUUCUCAGAUGCUGCAAUAACACCAGCAUCCACGCCCACAGGAGCAUGAGAAUAUAUUUGAAGGCUACCAUCAUCAUGUAAGACAAGACAGUGAAUUUUAUCCUUUGAUAGCGGUUUGUAUGCAGUCAUUCCAACUAUAGGGGAGGCUGAACCCACUGAAUGCUUCAUACUUAGAGCAAGUACAACAUGUUCCUCCAGGGACACCGCGAGUGCAGAAUUUGAUUUCACAGUUGAUAAGCAAACAAAUAAUCCAUUUCCAGCCAAUAAUUCUUUCCAAUGAUGUACUCCAGCAGGCCGCAUCUUACUUUCGUGCUCCUCAAAUAUAGAAGACAUCUCUACUAGGGAGGCUGCAUCUUUUUUCUUGAUUAUUCUAUUGUAAAAAUGAUCAAUAGUAUUUGGAAUAUGUCAUGUAGCAUAAGAUCUAGUGUAGGAUUAGGACCUCUUUGU